CCGCCAGUAGCUCAGCUGGAUAGAGCACCUGCCUUCUAAGCAGGCGGCCGGGGGUUCGAGUCCCUCCUGGCGGGCCA
Molecule: transfer RNA, 77 nt
Filed under: Rubrivivax sp.
Lineage: Bacteria; Pseudomonadati; Pseudomonadota; Betaproteobacteria; Burkholderiales; Sphaerotilaceae
Description: tRNA-Arg
Rfam family: tRNA
About the family: Transfer RNA (tRNA) molecules are approximately 80 nucleotides in length. Their secondary structure includes four short double-helical elements and three loops (D, anti-codon, and T loops).
Source: RNAcentral